UGGGCUAUAAUAUUAUGCGGUGGAGCGCCGCGCCUCCUCCCGACGCUGACUGCAAAGGUUGGCACCAUCUCCCUAUCGGGAGGUUCUGCUGCAACGUCGAUGCAGCGUUCUUUCGAGAGUCCAAUGCCAUGGGAUUGGGGCUGGUGAUUCGGGACCACGAGGGGAACUUCAUGGCCGGCAAAUCCAUCAAGGUCCCAGG
This 199-nucleotide long non-coding RNA is filed under the name Salvia miltiorrhiza (redroot sage). RNAcentral describes it as "long non-coding RNA (SMIL_LNC014377)". Lineage: Eukaryota; Viridiplantae; Streptophyta; Magnoliopsida; Lamiales; Lamiaceae. The record is from RNAcentral.